Molecule: ribosomal RNA, 447 nt
Filed under: uncultured bacterium
Lineage: Bacteria
Description: partial 16S ribosomal RNA
Rfam family: Bacterial small subunit ribosomal RNA
Source: RNAcentral
AGCGAACGCUGGCGGCAGGCUUAACACAUGCAAGUCGAGCGCCCCGCAAGGGGAGCGGCAGACGGGAGAGUAACACGUGGGAACGUACCCUUUGGUUCGGAACAACCCAGGGAAACUUGGGCUAAUACCGGAUAAGUCCGUAAGGAGAAAGAUUUAUCGCCGAAGGAUCGGCCCGCGUCUGAUUAGCUUGUUGGUGAGGUAACGGCUCACCAAGGCGACGAUCAGUAGCUGGUCUGAGAGGAUGAUCAGCCUCACUGGGACUGAGACACGGCCCAGCCUCCUACGGGGGGCAGAAGUGGGGAAUAUGGGACAAGGGGGGCAACCCUGAUCCAGCCAUGCCGGGUGGGUGAUGAAGGCCUUAGGGUUGUAAAGCCCUUUCGGCGGGGAAGAUAAUGACGGUACCCGCAGAAGAAGCCCCGGCUAACUUCGUGCCAGCCGCCGCCGUAA